AUUGAACGCUAGCGGGAUGCUUUACACAUGCAAGUCGAACGAGUGGCGGACGGGUGAGUAAUAUAUCGGAACCUGCCCAGUAGCGGGGGAUAACUACUCGAAAGAGUGGCUAAUACCGCAUACCAUCGGAGCGGCCCAUAUCGGAUUAGCUAGUUGGUGGGGUAAAGGCUCACCAAGGCAACGAUCCGUAGCUGGUUUGAGAGGAUGACCAGCCACACUGGGACGGAGACACGGCCCAGACUCCUACGGGAGGCAGCAGUGGGGAAUUUUGGACAAUGGGGGAAACCCUGAUCCAGCCAUCCCGCGUGUAUGAGAAGGCCUUCGGGUUGUAAAGUACUUUUGGCAGAGAAGCGGUAUCUGCAGAAUAAGCACCGGCUAACUCCGUGCCAGCAGCCGCGGUAAUUC
This 405-nucleotide ribosomal RNA is filed under the name uncultured bacterium. Its description in RNAcentral is "partial 16S ribosomal RNA". It matches the Rfam family "Bacterial small subunit ribosomal RNA", at positions 30 to 526 of the family's 1533-position model. The record is from RNAcentral.